GAUUGUAGUCUGCAACCGACUACAUGAAGCUGGAAUCGCUAGUAAUCGCGGAUCAGAAUGCCGCGGUGAAUACGUUCCCGGGUCUUGUACACACCGCCCGUCACACCAUGGGAGUCGGAAAUGCCCGAAGUCUGUGACCUAACCGUAAGGAAGGAGCAGCCGAAGGCAGGUCGGAUGACUGGGGUGAAGUCGUAACAAGGUAGC
RNAcentral lists this ribosomal RNA (204 nucleotides) under uncultured bacterium. RNAcentral describes it as "partial 16S ribosomal RNA". It matches the Rfam family "Bacterial small subunit ribosomal RNA", at positions 1296 to 1500 of the family's 1533-position model. The record is from RNAcentral.